RNAcentral lists this ribosomal RNA (252 nucleotides) under uncultured bacterium. RNAcentral's name for it is "partial 16S ribosomal RNA". It matches the Rfam family "Bacterial small subunit ribosomal RNA", at positions 524 to 776 of the family's 1533-position model. The record is from RNAcentral.
UACGUAGGGUGCAAGCGUUACUCGGAAUUACUGGGCGUAAAGCGUGCGCAGGCGGUUUUGUAAGUCUGUCGUGAAAUCCCCGGGCUCAACCUGGGAAUUGCGAUGGAGACUGCAAGGCUAGAAUCUGGCAGAGGGGGGUAGAAUUCCACGUGUAGCAGUGAAAUGCGUAGAGAUGUGAGGAACACCGAUGGCGAAGGCAGCCCCCUGGGUCAAGAUUGACGCUCAUGCACGAAAGCGUGGGGAGCAAACAGG